Molecule: long non-coding RNA, 239 nt
Organism: Gordionus sp. m RMFG-2023
Lineage: Eukaryota; Metazoa; Nematomorpha; Gordioida; Chordodea; Parachordodidae
Exons: 3
Source: RefSeq, a predicted model, not a curated record
UAACAUUUUAUCACAUGACACAUCAUUUCCACAUGAUAACUCGCUAUAUUUAAUAUGUUUAAUGUUUCCAUAUUUUGAAAAAUAAAUCGAAUGAUAAGGAGAACAACCAUAAUAUAGGAGUUAGACAAACAACUUGCCAAGUAUAUAGGAGUUUUACCCAGUAGAUAUCUCAUUACAAAAUACUUUUAAAGAUCAGAUAUGGAUAUGGCUUGACUCAAUAUAUGUGCGAUAGAUUAUAA